Molecule: ribosomal RNA, 496 nt
Filed under: uncultured bacterium
Lineage: Bacteria
Description: partial 16S ribosomal RNA
Rfam family: Bacterial small subunit ribosomal RNA
Source: RNAcentral
GAUGAACGCUGGCGGCGUGCCUAAUACAUGCAAGUCGAGCGAACAGACGAGGAGCUUGCUCCUCUGACGUUAGCGGCGGACGGGUGAGUAACACGUGGAUAACCUACCUAUAAGACUGGGAUAACUUCGGGAAACCGGAGCUACUACCGGCUCAUAUAUUGAACCGCAUGGUUCAAUAGUGAAAGACGGUUUUGCUGUCUCUUAUAGAUGGAUCCGCGCCGCAUUAUCUAGUUGGUAAGGUAACGGCUUACCAAGGCAACGAUGCGUAGCCGACCUGAGAGGGGGAUCGGCCAAAUGGGAACGGAGACAGGGCCCAGACCCCUAGGGGAGGAAGCAGGAGGGAAUUUGCCGCAAGGGGCGAAAGCUUGACGGAGCAACGCCGGGGGAGGGAGGAAGGUCUUCGGAUGGUAAAACUCUUUUAUGAGGGAAGAAAAAAGGUGUAAGUAACUAUGCACGUCUGGACGGUACCUAAGCAGAAAGCCACGGCUAACUACGU